RNAcentral lists this ribosomal RNA (274 nucleotides) under uncultured bacterium. RNAcentral's name for it is "partial 16S ribosomal RNA". It matches the Rfam family "Archaeal small subunit ribosomal RNA", at positions 473 to 747 of the family's 1478-position model. The record is from RNAcentral.
AAACCAGCACCUCAAGUGGUCAGGAUGAUUAUUGGGCCUAAAGCAUCCGUAGCCGGCUCUGUAAGUUUUCGGUUAAAUCUGUACGCUCAACGUACAGGCUGCCGGUAAUACUGCAGAGCUAGGGAGUGGGAGAGGUAGACGGUACUCGGGAGGAAGUGGUAAAAUGCUUUGAUCUCUCGAUGACCACCUGUGGCGAAGGCGGUCUACCAGAACACGUCCGACGGUGAGGGAUGAAAGCUGGGGGAGCAAACCGGAUUAGAAACCCGGGUAGUCC